AGAGUUUGAUCAUGGCUCAGAACGAACGCUGGCGGCGCGUCUUAAGCAUGCAAGUCGAACGGCAUGAGGAAGCUUGCUUCCUCAGAGAGUGGCGGACUGGUGAGUAACACGUGGGUGACCUACCCUUGAGAUGGGGAUAGCCAUUAGAAAUAGUGGAUAAUACCGAAUACGCUCUACGGACUCUGGUUUGUAGAGGAAACAGGCUACGGCCUGGCUCGAGGAUGGGCCCGCGUCCCAUUAGCUAGUUGGUGAGGUAAGAGCCCACCAAGGCGACGAUGGGUAUCCGGCCUGAGAGGGUGUACGGACACAUUGGGACUGAGAUACGGCCCAAACUCCUACGGGAGGCAGCAGCUAAGAAUAUUCCGCAAUGGACGAAAGUCUGACGGAGCGACGCCGCGUGGAUGACGAAGGCCGAAAGGUUGUAAAAUCCUUUUGCUGAUGAAGAAUAAGCGUGGUAGGGAAUGACCGCGUGAUGACAUUAGUCGGUGAAUAAGCCCCGGCUAACUACGUGCCAGCAGCCGCGGUAACACGUAGGGGGCAAGCGUUGUUCGGAAUUAUUGGGCGUAAAGGGCAUGUAGGCGGUUUGGUAAGCCUGAUGUGAAAUCCUGCAGCUUAACUGUAGAACUGCAUUGGGUACUGCCGAACUUGAAUCACUGAGGGGAAACUAGAAUUCCAGGUGUAGGGGUGGAAUCUGUAGAUAUCUGGAAGAAUACCGGUGGCGAAGGCGGGUUUCUAGCAGAUGAUUGACGCUGAGGUGCGAAAGUGCGGGGAGCGAACAGGAUUAGAUACCCUGGUAGUCCGCACCGUAAACGAUGUACACUAGGUGUCGG
Molecule: ribosomal RNA, 830 nt
Filed under: uncultured bacterium
Lineage: Bacteria
Description: bacterial SSU rRNA
Rfam family: Bacterial small subunit ribosomal RNA
Source: RNAcentral